GAGUGAAGAGGGACAAGCUCAAAUUUUAAAUCCAUCGGGUUUUACCCGAUCGAGUUGUAAUUUGAAGAGGCGUUUUCUGUGUUUCUGAUCAGUCCAAGUCCUUAGGGAUAAGGCAUCAUGGAGGGUGAGAAUCCCGUCCGGUUGAUCAGAUUCGCUUUACGAUACGCUUUCUAAGAGUCAAGUUGUUUGGGAUUGCAGCUUAAAAUGGGAGGUAAAUUUCUCCUAAGGCUAAAUAACGGCGAGAGACCGAUAGCGAACAAGUACCGUGAGGGAAAGAUGAAAAGAACUUUGAAAAGAGAGUUAAACAGUACGUGAAAUUGUUGAAAGGGAAACGAUUGAAGCCAGUCGUACCUUCGGGUAAUCAGCCUUUCGGGUGCGAUUCUGUGGAGUGUGAGGAGCUUAACACCUUCAUGCUUUGCAUAUUUGUGCUCUUGGGUGUACUUGCCCGUGUGGUUGGUUAACAUCAAUUUUGGUUAUCAUAAAAUGAUUGGAGGAAUGUAGCUUCGAUCUCGUAUUGAAGUGUUAUAGCCUUCGGUAGAUGUGAUGAUCGAGAUUGAGGAUUGCAACGGAUACCCUUCGGGGCUACCUGUCUGGUCUCUGAUCGUUGCUCUGGUGCCGAAAGCUUGCUUACGGUUAUCAAAGUCGGUGGUCAAUAGGUUAGAACGGGUUAAAUUCGUUA
This 679-nucleotide ribosomal RNA is filed under the name uncultured Glomeromycotina. RNAcentral describes it as "eukaryotic LSU rRNA". It matches the Rfam family "Eukaryotic large subunit ribosomal RNA", at positions 91 to 634 of the family's 3401-position model. Lineage: Eukaryota; Fungi; Glomeromycota. The record is from RNAcentral.